UUUGCUAUUCUUCCAUCCUGUGAAGUUUCGUCAAAAUCGGUGGGUGGCACUUGGCAAGAUUUUAUUCUUAGUUACUAUCUAGUGGCGCUGAUUAUUUCUCUGUUGGCAGUAUAUUGUGAACAGAACCUAAUGUUCAUAAAAUAACAACAACGCCAUUUUACUACCCAUAAUUACACAACAAGUAGUGAAAAUAAUUACAAAACGUUAAAUAUUUAUAUGAGGUAAUUAUUUAUAUAAAUUUGAUAAAAUUUAGAUGUAAUUAUUUGCCACAUAUCCCUCGAAAGUUGAAAUUUCAAUGCAAUGAUGACAGGAAAUAAAUUACUAUUUCAAACUGAUCGGGAACGUAACGGAACGAAAUAUUUAACGUAGGGGUAACAAAUUACCCAAAGAAAUAACAAAUUCAUACGAGAGAACAUAUUACAUAAAUCAUAGCAAGAUACCAUACAGCAUCACCAAAUAUCACCAAGGCUUACUUAACGUAUUAC
Molecule: unclassified non-coding RNA, 485 nt
Filed under: Athalia rosae (coleseed sawfly)
Lineage: Eukaryota; Metazoa; Arthropoda; Insecta; Hymenoptera; Athaliidae
Description: misc RNA ENSAEAG00005004310.1
Source: RNAcentral